AGUGAACGCUGGCGGUAGGCCUAACACAUGCAAGUCGAACGGCAGCACAGUAAGAGCUUGCUCUUACGGGUGGCGAGUGGCGGACGGGUGAGGAAUACAUCGGAAUCUACUUUUUCGUGGGGGAUAACGUAGGGAAACUUACGCUAAUACCGCAUACGACCUACGGGUGAAAGCAGGGGAUCUUCGGACCUUGCGCGAUUGAAUGCGCCGAUGUCGGAUUAGCUAGUUGGCGGGGUAAAGACCCACCAAGGCGACGAUCCGUAGCUGGUCUGAGAGGAUGAUCAGCCACACUGGAACUGAGACACGGUCCAGACUCCUACGGGAGGCAGCAGUGGGGAAUAUUGGACAAUGGGCGCAAGCCUGAUCCAGCCAUACCGCGUGUGUGAAGAAGGCCUUCGGGUUGUAAAGCCCUUUUGUUGGGAAAGAAAAGCAGCAGGUUAAUACCCCGCUGUUCUGACGGUACCCACAGAAUAAGCACCGGCUAACUUCGUG
This 492-nucleotide ribosomal RNA is filed under the name uncultured bacterium. RNAcentral's name for it is "partial 16S ribosomal RNA". It matches the Rfam family "Bacterial small subunit ribosomal RNA", at positions 29 to 507 of the family's 1533-position model. The record is from RNAcentral.